GAUGAACGCUGGCGGCGUGCCUAAUACAUGCAAGUCGAGCGAACAGACGAGGAGCUUGCUCCUCUGACGUUAGCGGCGGACGGGUGAGUAACACGUGGAUAACCUACCUAUAAGACUGGGAUAACUUCGGGAAACCGGAGCUAAUACCGGAUAAUAUAUUGAACCGCAUGGUUCAAUAGUGAAAGACGGUUUUGCUGUCACUUAUAGAUGGAUCCGCGCCGCAUUAGCUAGUUGGUAAGGUAACGGCUUACCAAGGCAACGAUGCGUAGCCGACCUGAGAGGGUGGUCGGACGCCGUGGAGCUGAGACGCGGACCGUGCGACUGCGGGAGGGAGCAGGAGGGAAUGUGACGCAACGGUCGAAAACAUGACACAAUGGGGCCAAGCGAGAUAUAGAACUGCUGGGUGCGUAAAGCUGUGUUAUGGGUGGAAAACGCAUUUGGAAUGAGAUGUGGCGUGCGUGACGGUACCGGAUAAAGAAGAAACGGCUAACUACGUG
RNAcentral lists this ribosomal RNA (497 nucleotides) under uncultured bacterium. RNAcentral describes it as "partial 16S ribosomal RNA". It matches the Rfam family "Bacterial small subunit ribosomal RNA", at positions 28 to 507 of the family's 1533-position model. The record is from RNAcentral.